Molecule: ribosomal RNA, 464 nt
Filed under: uncultured bacterium
Lineage: Bacteria
Description: partial 16S ribosomal RNA
Rfam family: Bacterial small subunit ribosomal RNA
Source: RNAcentral
GACGAACGCUGGCGGCGUGCUUAACACAUGCAAGUCGAACGGAAAGGCCCCUUUGGGGGUACUCGAGUGGCGAACGGGGGCGUAACACGUGAGUAACCUGCCCUUGACUUCGGGAUAACUUCAGGAAACUGGGGCUAAUACCGGAUAGGAAUCCUUGCUGCAUGGGGGGGGUUGGAAAGCUUCGGCGGUUUUGGCUGGACGCGCGGCUUAUCAGCUUGUUGGUGUGGUAGUGGCUUACCAAGGCUUUGACGGGUAGCCGGCCUGAGAGGGCGACCGGCCACAUUGGGACUGAGAUACGGCCCAGACUCCUACGGGAGGCAGCAGUGGGGAAUAUUGCACAAUGGGCGGAAGCCUGAUGCAGCAACGCCGCGUGCGGGAUGACGGCCUUCGGGUUGUAAACCGCUUUCAGCAGGGGCGAAGCUUUUGUGACGGUACCUGCAGAAGAAGCACCGGCUAACUACGUG